GGACCAAUACUGAUCUUGCUGUCAUCUUCUUUGGUGGCUUGAGAUGCCCAUCUUUUUUGAGCGGCAGCACCUAGAAUGGCAAAACUGAAGUUGGGUUUGGCAUUCAGGCUUCAGGCCAUGAGCCCAUGCUCCAGACCUAGAUGGAUGAUAACUGAAGAACGUAGAAACUUAUUGCUGGUGAACAGUACAUGUCAAAAUUAUGUAUCUCUUAUAACAGCGAGCAACCUAACGGUAAGAUCAUGAAGUUCAUCGAAUUCAUAAGAGUGGUGGGGUAAGAGGGAGACUUUGGGGAUGAGGAUUUGUAAGUAAGAAAAAAUAUAAGACGGUAUAGCUGACAAAUAUACUAUACUAGUUGUUGACAGGCAUGUGCAAAGAAGUUUUAAAGCUCUAACGCAAUCAUAUAUGGGUCAUCGAAAGUGUCCUUU
Molecule: long non-coding RNA, 425 nt
Organism: Juglans microcarpa x Juglans regia
Lineage: Eukaryota; Viridiplantae; Streptophyta; Magnoliopsida; Fagales; Juglandaceae
Exons: 2
Source: RefSeq, a predicted model, not a curated record